CCGCGAGCUGCGCCCUUCCCCGCGCCGCGGCCGGCGAACCCGCGGCCCGCGCCCCGCAGGUGGCCACCAUUACGUGCAAGUCAUUGGGGGCGCGGGCACCCGAAGUGGUUCUGCUUACAGCUGCUGGGGUCCUGUUCCUCAGCUCCAGGUCUAAGUCAUUGAGGCUGGAAUUGAACUUGAGAUCCUCCUGCCUUCACCUCCUGAGUUGCUGGGAUUACAGGAAAAGGCCACUGCACCUGACUAUAACCACUGUUGAGGCUUCUGCUAAAUUGCCCAGGUGAGCCUCCAACUUGUGAUCUUCCUGUCUCAGCCAUGAGUCAUUGGGAUUACAGGCUUGUGCAACCCUGCCCAGCUCCUUGGUCUCUCUUGAGGAACUUGGAACAUACUCCAUCCCCUCCUCCAUCCUUAGCCAGCAUCCCCACCAUCUGGACCCUCUCAUACCCCACAGGGAUUUCCUUGUCCCCUUGGAACUGAGGCUGAUCUGAGUCCAGCUUCUGCUGACUAAAGUUGCCAUCUGCUCUCCAGCAUGCCUGCCUUACCCAGCCCAGCCAGGAGCCCCUUGGCUGGCAUGCUCCUCCCUCAUUCUGGACCCAGGUGCCACAGAGGUGGUUUACACGGUUCUUAAUUUGGUAGUCUCUUGUUUGGUAAAGGUCAAAUUCCUGGAUACCCUCACAUUUCUAACUCUCUGAAUAUCAGAGCAUCCAGGAUCCUAGUUUCUUUUUGUACUUAUGUGUGCAUGUACUAUAGCAAAAUUGGAAACUAUAGUUAAACAAAAGGAAGAAAAUAAAAAUUUCUGUCCCAGGCUAA
Marmota monax (woodchuck) is the source of this 807-nucleotide long non-coding RNA. RefSeq lists it as uncharacterized. The transcript is spliced from 3 exons. The record is from RefSeq and is a predicted model, not a curated record. Lineage: Eukaryota; Metazoa; Chordata; Mammalia; Rodentia; Sciuridae.